GUUUGACACUCUGGAGGAAAAGCUGAAUAAAAAGAAAAUCAUCUCUGUUGCUCAAACAAUGACUUUACCAUUUUGAUUACUUGGAGCAGAGCCCCCGCGUUGUGAAUAUUGUUGUUGCCUCGUUGAUAUCUGAGAGGGAGGAAUUUACCUGUGUUUGAAGGUGAUCUCCUGAGUUUUGUAUAUUAAGAGGUCUGAGACAGGGAUUGAAGAGUGAUUUAUAUCGUUUUUGUAUUGUGGUUGUUAUGUGUUGUAAUUGUAGUUGUUAGCCGAGGUUGUAUUUAUAUGGCAUUAAUUGUCAUAUCGUCAAGGUUUGAUAUUAUUGUUGGUCGUUGUGCGUGGGUUAUAUCAUACAUGGAGCCUUGUUAAUAAUUAAAAAUAUCCAUUUAGAACUAAAUGGUUCACUUAGAUUUAUACAGAAAUAAGGUUUCCAAAAUGCAUGUAUACAGAGUGGAUGUUUUGCAAUGCAUACGUGAGUUCCACGUUUUUAGGUAAAACAU
This 497-nucleotide long non-coding RNA is filed under the name Brassica napus (rape). RNAcentral describes it as "long non-coding RNA (BNAP_LNC011804)". The record is from RNAcentral. Lineage: Eukaryota; Viridiplantae; Streptophyta; Magnoliopsida; Brassicales; Brassicaceae.